UUUAAGAGUUUGAUCCUGGCUCAGGAUGAAUGCUGGCGGUGUGCCUUAAGCAUGCAAGUCGAACGGUAAAUUCCCUUCGGGGAAUACGAGUGGCAGACGGGUGAGUAAUACGUAGGAACUUACCUUCAAGUGGGGAAUAGCUCAUCGAAAGAUGGGGUAAUGCCGCAUAUGGUCGCAAGAUCAAAGUCGCAAGACGCUUGAAGAGAGGCCUGCGCCCUAUCAGGUAGUUGGUGAGGUAAUGGCUCACCAAGCCAAUGACGGGUAGCCGAUGUGAGAGCAUGAUCGGCCACAAGGUAACUGAGAUACGGUGCCUACACCUACGGGUGGCAGCAACUGGGAAUAUUGCGCAAUGGACGAAAGUCUGACGCAGCGACACCGCGUGUGGGAAGAAGCUUUUCGGAGUGUAAACCACUGUGGCAGGGGAACAAUUUUGAGCGUACCCUGCUAGAAAGCACCUGCUAACUACGUGCCAGAAGCCUCGGUAAUACGUAGGGUGCAAGCAUUAUCCGGAUUUACUGGGCGUAAAGCGUCCGUCGGCGGUCUAUAAAGUUUCAUCUUUAAUACUGGGGCUCAACCCCAGAUACAGGAUGGAAAACUAGUAGACUAGAGUUUACUAUGGGGAGCUGGAAUUCUCGGUGGAGGGGUGAAAUCCGUAGAUAUCGAGAGGAACACCAUUCGCGAAGGCGAGCUCCUGAGGUAUAACUGACGCUCAGGGACGAAAGCUUGGGUAGCAAAAGGGAUUAGAGACCCCUGUAGUCCAAGCCGUAAACAUUCCUUGCUAAUUGCUUGGUCCUUUAUGGAUUGAGUGAUGUAAGCUAACGCGUUAAGCAAGGCGCCUGGGGAUUACGAUCGCAAGAUUAAAACUCAAAGGAAUUGACGGGGGAGCGCACAACCGGUGGAGCAUGUGGUUUAAUUCGAUACAAAGCGAAAAACCUUACCUGGGUUUGACAUGUACCUGCACGGCUUAGGAAACUAGGCCUUCUUCGAGAGUGGUACACAGGUGUUGCAUGGCUGUCGUCAGCUCGUGUCGUGAGGCGUCCACUUAAGUGUGGUAACGAGCGCAACCCUUAUCUCGUGUUACAAGUGUCACGAGAGACUGCCCUGCUUUUUGCAGGGAGGAAGGAGAGGAUGACGUCAAGUCAGCACGACCCUUACAUCCAGGGCUACACACAUCCUACAAUGGAGCCGACAACGGGAAGCAAUAUCGCGAGAUGGAGCUAAUCCUUAAACGGCCCCUCAGUUCAGAUUGCGGGCUGCAAUUCGCCCGCAUGAAGUCGGAAUCGGUAGUAAUCGCAAAUCAGCAGGUUGCGGUGAAUACGUUCUCGCUCCUUGUACACACUGCCCGUCAAACCAGCAAAGUUAGCAACACCCGAAGCGGAUGACCAUAACUCGCAAGAGAGUGGCUCUUCUACGGUGAGGUUAGCGAUGAGGGUUAAGUCGUAACAAGGUAUCGCUACUGGAAGGUGGCGAUGGAUCACCUCCUU
This 1484-nucleotide ribosomal RNA is filed under the name Candidatus Pacebacteria bacterium GW2011_OP11-3_36_13. Its description in RNAcentral is "bacterial SSU rRNA". It matches the Rfam family "Bacterial small subunit ribosomal RNA". The record is from RNAcentral. Lineage: Bacteria; Bacillati; Minisyncoccota. RNAcentral also lists the same sequence under 1 other name.